GCUGGGAGUGGUGAGCUUGCCGUUGUGCAUGAGUGGCGUGAGGAUGGCCUCUGGCUUCGGGUCUUUGGAUUGGGUGUCCCCAAAGAGGCCGCUGAGCUUGGUGACGCUGCUCAUGGAGCCCCGGCGCGAGUGGGUGAGCUCCUUCUCUUUUCGCUGCACCACGGCCACGUCUUUGCGCCGGUGAUCGCAGACGCAGUAGACGAUGAUGCCCGAGAAGACGGCCCCCAUGACGAAAGCCAGGAUGACUGCAAUGGCCAAGAGGGUGACCGGAACCAGCUGGUCGUGGCCUUUGAGGGUCCUCCUCUCUUCAAUUGUGACAUCACAGUUGGUUGCUGUGGAAAUGAUUGUCUUGUGACAAAGGAUUGUGACUUCAGGUGGGAAUAAGUAGAAGCAGCAAAUAUCUCUUGAGAAAUAAAAAUUCUGUGAUCCAACCAAUACCCUCAGUAAUAAAAGGCAGUCGAGGCCAUUCACCAUAAGGAAAGAGUAUGCAAGAUGUUUCCUCAAGACCUGAAAAUGAGUGAGCAUCAUCCUUUAAAGUGUUAAUAUGGAGGAGUUAAUAAGUACCUUUCCUUCUGUAAAGGAAAUAAGAGAGGACAUAGCUUAGGGAGUGAUUUUUAUAACCCAUAGCUUAAUUAUUCUAUCUAUUUGAGAAACUACCUGGGAGUCAAAAUUGGUCUUAGUAUGACUGAUGAAUGCUGGGCAGGUUGCUGGUUCAAUUCAUUUCAAGAUCUUAAUUUCUCAGUAUCUGAUAAAGACUAUUCAAUUAUAGAUAAUGAUUGCAAAGUAUCAUAUUGGAAAAGAGCAGAUGCUAAGCGUGGUUUUUCUUUGAAGGCAGUCUAAACUAGAUGACAUUUGCCUUCUGAGCAAUUUUUCUUCUAGUCUUUAGUGUUCAAUAUUCUGGCUUAAAUCAUACACGAGGGAACAUUGGUGGAUGAAUUCUGUGGACUCAUGUACUCUACAC
Molecule: non-coding RNA, 961 nt
Organism: Saimiri boliviensis boliviensis (Bolivian squirrel monkey)
Lineage: Eukaryota; Metazoa; Chordata; Mammalia; Primates; Cebidae
Source: RefSeq, a predicted model, not a curated record